GAGUUUGAUCCUGGUUCAGAUUGAACGCUGGCGGAAUGCUUUACACAUGCAAGUCGAACGGCAGCACGGGGGCAACCCUGGUGGCGAGUGGCGAACGGGUGAGUAACACAUCGGAACGCGUCCUGUAAUGGGGGAUAACCUAUCGAAAGGUAGGCUAAUACCGCAUACGUCCUGAGGGAGAAAGCGGGGGAUCGUAAGACCUCGCGUUAUAGGAGUGGCCGAUGUCGGAUUAGCUAGUUGGUGGGGUAAAGGCCUACCAAGGCGACGAUCCGUAGCUGGUCUGAGAGGACGACCAGCCACACUGGGACUGAGACACGGCCCAGACUCCUACGGGAGGCAGCAGUGGGGAAUUUUGGACAAUGGGCGCAAGCCUGAUCCAGCCAUUCCGCGUGAGUGAAGAAGGCCUUCGGGUUGUAAAGCUCUUUCGGCCGGGACGAAAUCGUAUGGGCUAAUACCCUGUAUGGAUGACGGUACUGGAAGAAGAAGCACCGGCUAACUACGUGCCAGCAGCCGCGGUAAUACGUAGGGUGCGAGCGUUAAUCGGAAUUACUGGGCGUAAAGGGUGCGCAGGCGGUUUUGUAAGACAGCUGUGAAAUCCCCGGCUUAACCUGGGAACUGCGGUUGUGACUGCAAGACUUGAGUGCGGCAGAGGGGGGUGGAAUUCCACGUGUAGCAGUGAAAUGCGUAGAGAUGUGGAGGAACACCGAUGGCGAAAGCAGCCCCCUGGGUCGACACUGACGCUCAUGCACGA
This 751-nucleotide ribosomal RNA is filed under the name uncultured Rhodocyclaceae bacterium. RNAcentral's name for it is "bacterial SSU rRNA". It matches the Rfam family "Bacterial small subunit ribosomal RNA", at positions 9 to 756 of the family's 1533-position model. Lineage: Bacteria; Pseudomonadati; Pseudomonadota; Betaproteobacteria; Rhodocyclales; Rhodocyclaceae. The record is from RNAcentral.